GACGAACGCUGGCGGCGUGCUUAACACCUGCAAGUCGAACGGAAAGGCCCUGCUUUUGUGGGGUGCUCGAGUGGCGAACGGGUGAGUAACACGUGAGUAACCUGCCCUUGACUUUGGGAUAACUUCAGGAAACUGGGGCUAAUACCGGAUAGGAGCUCCUGCUGCAUGGUGGGGGUUGGAAAGCUUCGGCGGUUGGGGAUGGACGCGCGGCUGAUCAGCUUGUUGGUGGGGUAGUGGCUUACCAAGGCUUUGACGGGUAGCCGGCCUGAGAGGGUGACCGGCCACAUUGGGACUGAGAUACGGCCCAGACUCCUACGGGAGGCAGCAGUGGGGAAUAUUGCAGCAUGGGCGGAAGCCUGCUGCAGCAACGCCGCGUGCGGGAUGACGGCCUUCGGGUUGUCAACCGCUUGCGCCUGUGACGAAGCGUGAGUGACGGUAAUGGGUAAAGAAGCACCGGCUAACUACGUG
This 468-nucleotide ribosomal RNA is filed under the name uncultured bacterium. RNAcentral's name for it is "partial 16S ribosomal RNA". It matches the Rfam family "Bacterial small subunit ribosomal RNA", at positions 28 to 507 of the family's 1533-position model. The record is from RNAcentral.